CCUGGUUGAUCCUGCCAGUAAUCAUAUGCUUGUCUCAAAGAUUAAGCCAUGCAUGUCUAAGUACAUGCCGAAAUAAGGCGAAACCGCGAAUGGCUCAUUAAAUCAGUUAUGGUUCCUUAGAUCGUUUCUUCCUACUUGGAUAACUGUGGCAAUUCUAGAGCUAAUACAUGCAGUGAGCCUGGAGCCCUUUGGGUAACGGGUGCUUUUAUUAGACCAAGAUCGAUCGGGUUUCGGCCCGUAUUGUGUGGUGACUCUGGAUAACUUUGUGCUGAUCGCAUGGCCACGAGCCGGCGACGUUUCUUUCAAGUGUCUGCCUUAUCAACUUUCGAUGGUAGGUUACUUGCUUACCAUGGUUGUUACGGGUAACGGAGAAUCAGGGUUCGAUUCCGGAGAGGGAGCCUGAGAAACGGCUACCACAUCCAAGGAAGGCAGCAGGCGCGCAAAUUACCCACUCCCGGCACGGGGAGGUAGUGACGAAAAAUAACAAUACGGGACUCUUUUGAGGCCCCGUAAUUGAAAUGAGUACACUCUAAAUCCUUUAACGAGGAUCAAUUGGAGGGCAAGUCUCGGGUGCCCCAGCAGCCGCGGUAAUUCCAGCUCCAAUAGCGUAUACUAAAGCUGCUGCGGUUAAAAAGCUCGUAGUUGGAUCUCAGUUCCAGACGAGUAGUGCAUCUACCCGAUGCGACGGCUCGGACUGAACAUCAUGCCGGUUCUUUCUUGGUGCACUUCAUUGUGUGCCUCGAGAUGGCCGGUGCUUUUACUUUGAAAAAAUUAGAGUGCUCAACGCAGGCGAGUCGCCUGAAUAAACUUGCAUGGAAUAAUAGAACAAGACCUCGUUUCUGUUCUGUUGGUUUUUGGAAUACGAGGUAAUGAUUAAGAGGGACGGACGGGGGCAUUCGUAUUGCGGCGCUAGAGGUGAAAUUCUUGGACCGUCGCAAGACGAACUACUGCGAAAGCAUUUGCCAAGAAUGUUUUCAUUGAUCAAGAACGAAAGUCAGAGGUUCGAAGGCGAUCAGAUACCGCCCUAGUUCUGACCAUAAACGAUGCCAACCAGCGAUCCGCCUGAGUUACUCAAAUGACUCGGCGGGCAGCUUCCGGGAAACCAAAGUAUUUGGGUUCCGGGGGAAGUAUGGUUGCAAAGCUGAAACUUAAAGGAAUUGACGGAAGGGCACCACCAGGAGUGGAGCCUGCGGCUUAAUUUGACUCAACACGGGAAAACUUACCCGGCCCGGACACUGGGAGGAUUGACAGAUUGAGAGCUCUUUCUUGAUUCGGUGGAUGGUGGUGCAUGGCCGUUCUUAGUUGGUGGAGCGAUUUGUCUGGUUAAUUCCGAUAACGAACGAGACUCUAGCCUAUUAAAUAGGUGCGGGGUUCCCAGCACCUUACAACCUUCUUAGAGGGACAAGCGGCUCCUAGCCGCACGAAACAGAGCAAUAACAGGUCUGUGAUGCCCUUAGAUGUCCGGGGCCGCACGCGCGCUACACUGAAGGAAGCAGCGUGUCUUUAUCCCUGUCUGAAAAGACUGGGUAACCCGUGGAACUUCUUUCGUGAUUGGGAUAGGGGCUUGCAAUUGUUCCCCUUGAACGAGGAAUUCCCAGUAAGCGCGAGUCAUAAGCUCGCGUUGAUUACGUCCCUGCCCUUUGUACACACCGCCCGUCGCUACUACCGAUUGAAUGAUUUAGUGAGGUCUUCGGACCGAUGUCCGGCGCGGCCUUUCGGUUGCGCCGGUCUGUUGGAAAGAUGACCAAACUUGAUCAUUUAGAGGAAGUAAAAGUCGUAACAAGGUUUCCGUAGGUGAACCUGCGGAAG
Molecule: ribosomal RNA, 1809 nt
Filed under: Rhipicephalus microplus (southern cattle tick)
Lineage: Eukaryota; Metazoa; Arthropoda; Arachnida; Ixodida; Ixodidae
Description: SSU rRNA
Rfam family: Eukaryotic small subunit ribosomal RNA
Source: RNAcentral